Molecule: long non-coding RNA, 1083 nt
Organism: Pezoporus occidentalis (night parrot)
Lineage: Eukaryota; Metazoa; Chordata; Aves; Psittaciformes; Psittacidae
Exons: 3
Source: RefSeq, a predicted model, not a curated record
ACAGUGCGGCAAAACCUCUAUUUACCUCUUUUAAUGUAGGGUGGUGUCCUCUAAUGUUUAACGGAACAGGAGCACAAAGACAGUGCUCAGGCACUGGAACAGGCUUCCCAGGGAAGUGGUGGAAUCGCUGUCCCUGGAAGUGUUCUAGAACUGUAUAAAUGAAGCCUUUAGUGACACAGUUUAGUGAUGGACUCGGCAGCCCUGGAGUAAAGACUGGACUUGAUCUUAAAGGUCUUUUCCGACCUGGAUAAUUUUAUCAUUACCAGCACAUGAGCACCCAGAGAUCCACCUGCUGUAUUUAUCUCUGCCUGUGCCAGCUUCCCUCAGUGUAUUAAAAGGUGACUGGAAGUAGUGGUGGCCACUAAUUUUUAUACUAAAAAGGCAAAAAUCUUCUUCCUGAUCGUGCUGGUACUGCCAGGUGCUGUAUGCCUCAGUACAGCUCCUAUGCUUGCAGAUGGAUUUGUUACUCUCCAUAAUGGAAACUUAGGGCAUUGCAGUGGUGCUGACAUGAAGUCAAAGUGUCCUGUAAAGAUCAGUGAGGUAGACUACAAACAACCCAAAGCAAAUCAGUGUAUUUUGCAGCAAUUUAUGGAGUAUUUUCCACACUGGAGCAGGAUUUGUCCCUCAAAGAGCAAGCAGCUGUGUGGAUGAACAGUGAAACCAGGAAGGAAAACAUGGAGCUGAAUUGCUUGUUACUUUUUCUGUUCACAAACCAGCUGGCAUGCUUGAGGAAAGAAAAUCUCAUUUUGAGCAAAUGGCUUCCUGGUUUGCAGCUGUAAAGGUUUCAGCAUCACCACCAAAAAGGAUCUGCAUAAGAAGAACAAAAAUGUCAUACAGAGGAAAACCACUUGAGGUUUGAACCAUACUGACUACAUAUUCCAACAGCAAAAGAUAAACACAUGAAAACACAAUUUGGGUAACAUAAAUUACAACAGAAGUACAGGCUGUCCUGAAGUGAUUACACAAGACAUUAAGGAUGUGCUCAGAGAGUCACGGAUACCCUAAAAAAACACACCAGAACCACUCAGCUUCAAAGUCACUACUCUAGCUAGCUGUCUCCAGAGCAAGAUUACCUCACUGCUA